AAAGGGAAAGAAAAGCCAAGAAUUAUGGACUUGGAGAUCGAGGUCAGGGAACCCUGCUUGGUGAUACGCACCGUCGCAACAAUUAUCAAAGUACAAAAAA
Neltuma alba is the source of this 100-nucleotide long non-coding RNA. RefSeq lists it as uncharacterized. The transcript is spliced from 3 exons. The record is from RefSeq and is a predicted model, not a curated record. Lineage: Eukaryota; Viridiplantae; Streptophyta; Magnoliopsida; Fabales; Fabaceae.